Molecule: ribosomal RNA, 500 nt
Filed under: uncultured bacterium
Lineage: Bacteria
Description: partial 16S ribosomal RNA
Rfam family: Bacterial small subunit ribosomal RNA
Source: RNAcentral
AUUGAACGCUGGCGGCAUGCCUUACACAUGCAAGUCGAACGGCAGCACGGGAGCAAUCCUGGUGGCGAGUGGCGAACGGGUGAGUAAAGUAUCGGAACGUGCCCAGUCGUGGGGGAUAACGUAGCGAAAGUUACGCUAAUACCGCAUGCGAUCUAUGGAUGAAGGCGGGGGAUCGCAAGACCUCGCGCGAUUGGAGCGGCCGAUAUCAGAUUAGGUAGUUGGUGGGGUAAAGGCUAACCAAGCCGACGAUCUGUAGCUGGUCUGAGAGGACGACCAGCCACACUGGGACUGAGAGACGGCCCAGACUCCUACGGGAGGCAGCAGUGGGGAAUUUUGGACAAUGGGCGAGAGCCUGAUCCAGCCAUGCCGCGUGCAGGAUGAAGGCCUUCGGGUUGUAAACUGCUUUUGUACGGAACGAAAAGGUUUGGCCUAAUAAGCUGAGCUCAUGACGGUACCGUAAGAAUAAGCACCGGCUAACUACGUGCCAGCCGCCGCGGUAA